This 269-nucleotide ribosomal RNA is filed under the name uncultured bacterium. RNAcentral describes it as "partial 16S ribosomal RNA". It matches the Rfam family "Bacterial small subunit ribosomal RNA", at positions 85 to 353 of the family's 1533-position model. The record is from RNAcentral.
AAGAUGGCGACCGGCGCACGGGUGAGUAACACGUAUCCAACCUGCCGAUAACUCGGGGAUAGCCUUUCGAAAGAAAGAUUAAUACCCGAUGGCAUAGUUCUUCCGCAUGGUAGAACUAUUAAAGAAUUUCGGUCAUCGAUGGGGAUGCGUUCCAUUAGGUUAUUGGCGGGGUAACGGCCCACCAAGCCUUCGAUGGAUAGGGGUUCUGAGAGGAAGGUCCCCCACAUUGGAACUGAGACACGGUCCAGACUCCUACGGGAGGCAGCAUG